ACGAGCGCACCCCUAUCCUUAUUUGCCAGCGCGUUAUGGCGGGAACUCUAAGGAGACUGCCGGUGAUAAACCGGAGGAAGGUGGGGACGACGUCAAGUCAUCAUGGCCCUUACGGGAUGGGCUACACACGUGCUACAAUGGCAAGUACAGAGGGCAGCAAUACCGCGAGGUGGAGCGAAUCCCACAAAGCUUGUCGUAGUCCGGAUUGGAGUCUGCAACUCGACUCCAUGAAGUCGGAAUCGCUAGUAAUCGUAGAUCAGAAUGCUACGGUGAAUACGUUCCCGGGCCUUGNACACACCGCCCGU
RNAcentral lists this ribosomal RNA (305 nucleotides) under uncultured bacterium. Its description in RNAcentral is "bacterial SSU rRNA". It matches the Rfam family "Bacterial small subunit ribosomal RNA", at positions 1092 to 1397 of the family's 1533-position model. The record is from RNAcentral.